GCCUGGGUGGCUCAGUAGGUUAAGCAUCUGACUUCAGCUCAUGAUCUCACGGCUCGUGAGUUCGAGUCCCGCGUCAGGCU
Molecule: non-coding RNA, 80 nt
Organism: Felis catus (domestic cat)
Lineage: Eukaryota; Metazoa; Chordata; Mammalia; Carnivora; Felidae
Source: Rfam